CCUACGGGAGGCAGCAGUGAGGAAUAUUGGUCAAUGGACGAGAGUCUGAACCAGCCAAGUAGCGUGAAGGAUGACUGCCCUAUGGGUUGUAAACUUCUUUUAUAUGGGAAUAAAAUGUUCCACGUGUGGGAUUUUGUAUGUACCAUAUGAAUAAGGAUCGGCUAACUCCGUGCCAGCAGCCGCGGUAAUACGGAGGGACAGAGCGUUAUCCGGAUUUAUUGGGUUUAAAGGGAGCGUAGGUGGAUUGUUAAGUCAGUUGUGAAAGUUUGCGGCUCAACCGUAAAAUUGCAGUUGAAACUGGCAGUCUUGAGUACAGUAGAGGUGGGCGGAAUUCGUGGUGUAGCGGUGAAAUGCUUAGAUAUCACGAAGAACUCCGAUUGCGAAGGCAGUUCACUGGACUGCAACUGACACUGAGGCUCGAAAGUGUGGGUAUCAAACAGGAUUAGAUACCCCGGUAGUC
This 460-nucleotide ribosomal RNA is filed under the name uncultured bacterium. Its description in RNAcentral is "partial 16S ribosomal RNA". It matches the Rfam family "Bacterial small subunit ribosomal RNA", at positions 338 to 795 of the family's 1533-position model. The record is from RNAcentral.